GCGAACAGACGAGGAGCUUGCUCCUCUGACGUUAGCGGCGGACGGGUGAGUAACACGUGGAUAACCUACCUAUAAGACUGGGAUAACUUCGGGAAACCGGAGCUAAUACCGGAUAAUAUAUUGAACCGCAUGGUUCAAUAGUGAAAGACGGUUUUGCUGUCACUUAUAGAUGGAUCCGCGCCGCAUUAGCUAGUUGGUAAGGUAACGGCUUACCAAGGCAACGAUGCGUAGCCGACCUGAGAGGGUGAUCGGCCACACUGGAACUGAGACACGGUCCAGACUCCUACGGGAGGCAGCAGUAGGGAAUCUUCCGCAAUGGGCGAAAGCCUGACGGAGCAACGCCGCGUGAGUGAUGAAGGUCUUCGGAUCGUAAAACUCUGUUAUUAGGGAAGAACAAAUGUGUAAGUAACUAUGCACGUCUUGACGGUACCUAAUCAGAAAGCCACGGCUAACUACGUGCCAGCAGCCGCGGUAAUACGUAGGUGGCAAGCGUUAUCCGGAAUUAUUGGGCGUAAAGCGCGCGUAGGCGGUUUUUUAAGUCUGAUGUGAAAGCCCACGGCUCAACCGUGGAGGGUCAUUGGAAACUGGAAAACUUGAGUGCAGAAGAGGAAAGUGGAAUUCCAUGUGUAGCGGUGAAAUGCGCAGAGAUAUGGAGGAACACCAGUGGCGAAGGCGACUUUCUGGUCUGUAACUGACGCUGAUGUGCGAAAGCGUGGGGAUCAAACAGGAUUAGAUACCCUGGUAGUCCACGCCGUAAACGAUGAGUGCUAAGUGUUAGGGGGUUUCCGCCCCUUAGUGCUGCAGCUAACGCAUUAAGCACUCCGCCUGGGGAGUACGACCGCAAGGUUGAAACUCAAAGGA
This 861-nucleotide ribosomal RNA is filed under the name Staphylococcus epidermidis. RNAcentral describes it as "bacterial SSU rRNA". It matches the Rfam family "Bacterial small subunit ribosomal RNA", at positions 66 to 908 of the family's 1533-position model. The record is from RNAcentral. Lineage: Bacteria; Bacillati; Bacillota; Bacilli; Caryophanales; Staphylococcaceae.